RNAcentral lists this ribosomal RNA (774 nucleotides) under uncultured Neocallimastigales. Its description in RNAcentral is "partial large subunit ribosomal RNA". It matches the Rfam family "Eukaryotic large subunit ribosomal RNA", at positions 25 to 634 of the family's 3401-position model. Lineage: Eukaryota; Fungi; Neocallimastigomycota; Neocallimastigomycetes; Neocallimastigales. The record is from RNAcentral.
ACACUGACGUCGCGACGCAUAUCAAUAAGCGGAGGAAAAGAAACUAACAAGGAUUCCCUUAGUAACGGCGAGUGAAGCGGGAAGAGCUCAAAUUUGAAAUCUUCAAGGUUCUACCUUGACGAAUUGUAGUUUAAAGAAGUGUUUUCUGUUAGAUGAGUAGCAAAAGUUCCUUGGAAUAGGACAUCAUAGAGGGUGAGAAUCCCGUAUUUGGUCAUUCCUUCUAGCUUUGUGAUACACUUUCAAAGAGUCGGAUUGUUUGGGAAUGCAGUCCAAAAUGGGUGGUAAAUUUCAUCUAAAGCUAAAUAUUGGCGAGAGACCGAUAGCGAACAAGUACCGUGAGGGAAAGAUGAAAAGAACUUUGAAAAGAGAGUUAAACAGUACGUGAAAUUGUCAAAAGGGAAGCGUUUGACACCAGUGUUGUUUUUCCGAAAAUCAAUUAUAAAUGUUUUGUUUCUGAGGAGUGAUGACUUCAUCGGCUUCCUUCUCUCUUCACGAAACUUUUGUAAUGCACUUUUCGGUUAACAAGUCAACAUCAAUUUCUUUUGUUGUAAAAGAGUAUUCGGAAGGUGGCUUUCUUUUCGGAGAAAGUGUUUAUAGCCCUAUACUUCUACAAUCGGAGAGAUUGAGGUCUGCAGCGUAGAUCCUUCGGGGUUAGAUACACUUGUGCUAAGUUAUAGCUUUUCAUAGACAACUUGUUGACUAUGUUUAGUCUUGUAGCUUACUCGCUUGUGCUAUUUUACCUACGCUUAGGAUGUUGAGUCGUAGAGCACGCAG